This 1030-nucleotide long non-coding RNA is filed under the name Salmo salar (Atlantic salmon). RNAcentral describes it as "lncRNA (ENSSSAG00000119881.1)". Lineage: Eukaryota; Metazoa; Chordata; Actinopteri; Salmoniformes; Salmonidae. The record is from RNAcentral.
UCUUGUUUUUUUCCAUUUCACUUUAUUAACCAGCACACAGGAGAAUGAAUACAAAUUAAAUGCUAAAACCAAAAAGAUGAAGGCUACAAUUUUCCAAGGCAGUUGGUAUCAUCACCGUACCAUCAAUGUGCUAAGAAAGUGACUUCAGUAAUUGCUUUGCUGAGCACUCUAAAGAUUCUACUCUAUCCAUUCAGGUAUAUUAUUAAGAUUCCAUUCCUGCUCCCGUUUUUUGCAUGUGCAGUACUUCAAUGGCUCCUGAAUUGUAUAUUUUCUCUUGAGGCAGAAGAGUUGAGUCAACAGUGCCCUCCAGUGGUGGACAGAGCACAUUGUUUUUGUCACACUAGCCAGUUUCAGUGGUGCAGUACAAUUAAUAUAUUAAAUUGUACAAUGAAUACAUUAAAGACAUGAAAAAUAUGAAACAUGGGGUUUAGAAAGAAAAGAGAAAAAAAACACUUCAUGCUCCACAUAUAAGCCUAACCGUAGGAGCAUAUAGAACAUACUAUGAGGGUUUGAACAUUAGACAAUAAAACAACAACCUAUAAUAACCAUGAAACAACACGCAAGUCAAAAGUACAUUUUGUGAGAGUUAAUAAAAUGCACAGAGCUACAUAGAGGUAAACAGAGCUACAUAGUGAGUCAUUGUAUUAUCAAAUGGGAAUAAAUCUAAAGCCACAGGCGUACUUAUUCUUGAUUGGACAUCACUGCUACAUCAAUAUCAGUGCUACAAGCUUGCACUCAUAUCCAAGGCUGUGCAAGCGUGAUACGAGGGGCUGCUAUUGAAGAAACUUGUCAGCAAAGGCCGGCUCCAUGUAACAGCCCACUUCCAACAGGAGCACCUCCCCUAGUCUAUACCAUAAUGAAGAGGUAAAACUGGCCUCCCCUAGUCUAUACCAUAAUGAAGAGGUAAAACUGGCCUCCCCUAGUCUAUACCAUAAUGAAGAGGUAAAACUGGCCUCCCCUAGUCUAUACCAUAAUGAAGAGGUAAAACUGGCCUCCCCUAGUCUAUACCAUAAUGAAGAGGUAAAACUGG